Molecule: ribosomal RNA, 483 nt
Filed under: uncultured bacterium
Lineage: Bacteria
Description: partial 16S ribosomal RNA
Rfam family: Bacterial small subunit ribosomal RNA
Source: RNAcentral
UUGAACGCUGGCGGCAGGCCUAACACAUGCAAGUCGAGCGGAUGAAGGGAGCUUGCUCCUGGAUUCAGCGGCGGACGGGUGAGUAAUGCCUAGGAAUCUGCCUGGUAGUGGGGGAUAACGUCCGGAAACGGGCGCUAAUACCGCAUACGUCCUGAGGGAGAAAGUGGGGGAUCUUCGGACCUCACGCUAUCAGAUGAGCCUAGGUCGGAUUAGCUAGUUGGUGGGGUAAAGGCCUACCAAGGCGACGAUCCGUAACUGGUCUGAGAGGAUGAUCAGUCACACUGGAACUGAGACACGGUCCAGACUCCUACGGGAGGCAGCAGUGGGGAAUAUUGGACAAUGGGCGAAAGCCUGAUCCAGCCAUGCCGCGUGUGUGAAGAAGGUCUUCGGAUUGUAAAGCACUUUAAGUUGGGAGGAAGGGCGGUAAGUUAAUACCUUGCUGUUUUGACGUUACCAACAGAAUAAGCACCGGCUAACUUCGUG